Molecule: ribosomal RNA, 115 nt
Filed under: Heterocephalus glaber (naked mole-rat)
Lineage: Eukaryota; Metazoa; Chordata; Mammalia; Rodentia; Bathyergidae
Source: RNAcentral
UGUGACAGCCGUAACACCUAGAAUGCACCUGAUCUCAUCUGAUCUCAGAAGCUAAGCAUGGUUGGGCCUGGUUAGUAUGUGGAUGGGAAGCCUGAUAGGGGCUAUGUGGCCACAA